CUCAACGGCAGACCAUUCCCUCCGCCCGGCUUCUCCAGCAGCAACUUGGGCCUUAGCACUAGCACAUUCUGUUUUGACCACACCCCGAAGACUUGGGAAGUGUUGCUCCAUCCUUAGAGUUGUCGAAUGCUGAAUCAAACUUCUGCCCAAAAUUUCUUGUGUCGACUGUGUGCAAGGCACGGUACCUGGAUCUUUAGUGGAGGAGAGACUAUGGCCACCUAAAUUAAAUACCUGAAAAUGCUUUUGAUGCUGUUGAACUUGGCCACAAUAAAAGCAAGCCUGUAAGCUGCAACUACUGAGCCCAAGUGCUGCGACUACUGAAGUCCCCCACCCUAGAAGCCGUGCUCUGCAACAGGAGACGCCACCACCAUGAGGAGCCCGUGCGCUGCAACCAGAGAGGAGCUCCAGAGACGCAGCAACAAAGACCCAGUGCAACCAAAAAUAAAUAAAUAAAAUUUAAAGAAAUACACAA
This is a long non-coding RNA of Cervus elaphus (red deer), 472 nucleotides long. RefSeq lists it as uncharacterized. The record is from RefSeq and is a predicted model, not a curated record. The transcript is spliced from 3 exons. Lineage: Eukaryota; Metazoa; Chordata; Mammalia; Artiodactyla; Cervidae.